AUCACUUGGCUGUUAAUGCCCUUCUGAAAAGCAACCUGGUGAGCGAGAUGGAAGGAGGUGACUUUUUGGGAUUUGAACAGGAUGUGAAUCCCAGAGGAAGUAGUUCGAACGUUAACGCCAGUUUUGAUGAGACCACUGGAUGUGCUCAAGCAUUCCGAGUCCUGAAACAAUUGAUUACUGCAUUAUUUGCCUCCCUUCCUUUUAUUUUCCUUUUUUGCUCUUGCUCUGUGCGUACAGCUUCGAAACUAUAUACCUGAAACCUUGGCAAAAUGCUAUUUUCUCCAAAUCACUGAUUAUGACUCUGAAAUGCCUUAUUAUGUAUUUAAGAGAGAAGCAGAUUUUCCAUAUCAUUGAUUUUGUAUUUGUAUAACAGGUCCUUUGGGUGUCAGAUAAUGGUAUUCCAGACCUUGGUGGUCUGAACAAUGAAGAGACAUUCUUUGCUGAUGAGGUAUGUCAAAUGAUUUUUCCUUUUUGCCUUUUAGUAUGCGUGGGCUUUGUCAUGAACUUCGCCCGCUUCCAUGUUUUUUUAGACUAUGAAAGUGAUAACUGGGAUGCUUCUUUUGUCACAGGUGCAACAGACAAGUUUGGUAUAUCCUGGAGCGUAUAGAAAAAUUUCUGUGGAGUUAAAGGUCACAAUUUUUUUUUUGCUUUAAUCGUUGUGAAUUUUGGAUUUUUUUUCUAAUUAACAUGCAUCGUGCAGAUCCAUCACUUGGCUGUUAAUGCCCUUCUGAAAAGCAACCUGGUGAGCGAGAUGGAAGGAGGUGACUUUUUGGGAUUUGAACAGGAUGUGAAUCCCAGAGGAAGUAGUUCGAACGUUAACGCCAGUUUUGAUGAGACCACUGGAUGUGCUCAAGCAUUUCGAGUCCUGAAACAAUUGAUUAAUAGUUGCUUGACUGAUGUGUGUAAAUCACGCAAUAUAUAUGCUGAUUCCAUUUUGCAAC
Molecule: long non-coding RNA, 941 nt
Filed under: Brassica napus (rape)
Lineage: Eukaryota; Viridiplantae; Streptophyta; Magnoliopsida; Brassicales; Brassicaceae
Description: long non-coding RNA (BNAP_LNC004812)
Source: RNAcentral